RNAcentral lists this long non-coding RNA (31025 nucleotides) under Brassica napus (rape). RNAcentral describes it as "long non-coding RNA (BNAP_LNC004106)". Lineage: Eukaryota; Viridiplantae; Streptophyta; Magnoliopsida; Brassicales; Brassicaceae. The record is from RNAcentral.
UGUCGAUGGCCAAGGUGCUAAUGCGGGAUUUUGCGUACCAGUCAAUUGCGACACUAAUGACAAAAAUCGCAGUUGUGCUACCUGUCACAUUGCCUCGCCACGCAAGACACUUAGUUUCAAGAGCUUAGCAGAAUGUAAGGCUGGGUGCAAGGCAUAAGUUAACUCGAGGCGUGCAAAUAGCACUGAAUAAACGUUUUAUUUAACACGUAAUUUAUCUGCUUCCGAUUUUAACUACAAUACAGAAUCUUAUUUUGAGUCCAAUAAAUCAAAUUUAUGCCUAUUGUAUAUGUGUUUAGAGAUUUCCAUAUUCUACGUAAUACAAAAUAGUUUAACCUAUUUCUCUCCUUUUGUUUUGUUUGACUAUUAAUAUUUUUUUAAGAAAAUAUAUCUUCUGUAUAAUUACUAAGAAUAAGUUUUUUAAACUGAAUAGUUUGUAAUAAUGGUAAAUGGUAAGUUUUUUUUUUCUAUUUCCUUCUACGCCAUAUAACUACUACUUGUGAGUAAGGAAAAAACAUAGAUCAAAGAGUAAACAUAGAGAUUUUCUUAUUAGUCUUCACAAUCACUUAAAACAAUAAUAAAAACUUAUAUUACUCUUUUAUCUUAGACUUUUUGUUAUCUUGUUUAAUAGGAAGACAAUGAAAAUAGAACAAAAAGAGAAAGACUCAUUAGCAUAAACGCUCUAAGUAUUGCUACAAAAUUACGUAAAGGACUUUACAUAACCAAAUAUAAACAGAGUAGGUACAUCAGAUUUCAAAGACAAGAACUAACAAAAGCAACGAGAUGGUUCUGCAAAGUGACAAUGCUAACACAGGAACCAAACUUGGUCUCGCCGGUCUUGGCUACUCUUUGAUGGAUAUGUAACAUCCCGAUUUUUGGGGAUGCAAUCAUUAAAAGAAAUAAACCUGGUAAGUUGUCUGAAGCUAAUAUGGAGGAUUCUCUCUUCUAAUUUGGUAUGGGUUAAUUGGAUAAAUAUAUACCUUAUUAGAAAAGGUUCACUAUGGACGGGUAAGGAGAACAUUCAAUUAGGUUCUUGGAUGUGGAAAAAAAUUCUCAUGUGUAGAGAUAUUGGUAAGAGCUUGUACCGAGUAGAUAUAAGAAAUGGUAGGAAAACAUCUUUCUUGCAUGAAGCUUGGUCGCCACUGGGUUGUCUUCAGGAUAUGCUGAGGGAAGGAAACUAUAUUGAUAUGGGAAUUCCUAUAAAUGCAACCGUUGAUGUGAGUAGGAAGCAAAGAAGACAGCAUCAUCGAAUUCAUAUCUUGAAUAAUGUAGAAGAUGAGAUUGCGAGGUAUAAGGCAAACUUUGUUAAUGAAGAAGAUGUUUCCUUAUGGAAGAAUGGGACAUGACAAUACAAAAUGAACUUCUCAACGAGUGAAACAUGGAAGGUGAUUAGAAAAGAGUAUAUUGCUUGAAAUUGGUACAAAGAGAUUUGGUUCAAGUAUGUCACAUCGAAGCACUCUUUCAUUACUUGGGUUGCAAUGAAGGGGAGGCCUGCAACAGGAGAUCGCAUGAGGCAUUGGAGUGGGUUGGUGGACAGAUCUUGUGUCUUAUGCAAUGAUCCUUUGGAAACAAUGGAGCAUUUAUUUUUUGAGUGUGAGUAUUCUGCUCAAAUUUGGAAACAGAUGAUGGAAGGGGUGUUGCUACACAAGUAUACAAAUCAAUGGGAGAGGAUAAUGAGGAUCAUGAUAAGGCCGCAGGGGAGUAAAGUGAAGUCUUUUGUUAUUAAGUACAUGUUUCAACUUGCUAUUCACACAAUCUGGAGGGAAAGAAAUCGAAGGCGGCAUGGGGAGAGCCCCUCUCCUGUGAAUAUUUUGGCAAGUUUGAUAGACAAGGGGAUGAGAAACAAGCUCACUAUCAUUCAGAGGAGAAAGGAUAAAGAUUUGGAGGGAGGGAUGAUCUAUUGGUUUAGUACCAGAAUUUGAAGUUUGUUUUUUUAUCAUUGGUUUUGAGCGUUUCGAUUUACUUUGGGAGUUAGUAAUAGUAGAAGGAGAUAGGGUUUUCAUUUAGACAGGUAACACUUGAUGUAACAAGGUUAUUUCUUCUUUGAAUUCAGUUUAACAUUCAAUUCAAAAAAAAAUUAAAAUAGAUAUUUCGAACAACAAAUACUAUUAUCAGAAUUUUUUAAUUUACCAAUAAACAAUGAUAUCAUUAAAAAAAUUUAUAGUCAUAUUGUUUGUUGUUUUUGAUUAAAAUAAGAAUGAUAUAAUGGUACAUGAUUUAUUUAUAAAAUCAUUUAGAAAUAAAACAUACCUUGAGGGAGAGCCCCUCUCCUGUGAAUAUUUUGGCAAGUUUGAUAGACAAGGGGAUGAGAAACAAGCUCACUAUCAUUCAGAGGAGAAAGGAUAAAGAUUUGGAGGGAGGGAUGAUCUAUUGGCUUAGUACCAGAAUUUGAAGUUUGUUUUUUUUAUCAUUGGUUUUGAGCUUUUCUAUUUUACUUUGGGAGUUAGUUAUAGUAGAAGGAGAUAGGGUUUUCAUUUUUUUUUUUUUGUCACCUGUCACAUUGCCUCGCCACGCAAGACACUUAGUUUCAAGAGCUUAGCAGAAUGUAAUGCUGGGUGCAAGGCAUAAGUUAACUCGAGGCGUGCAAAUAGCACUGAAUAAACGUUUUAUUUAACACGUAAUUUAUCUGCUUCCGAUUUUAACUACAAUACAGAAUCUUAUUUUGAGUCCAAUAAAUCAAAUUUAUGCCUAUUGUAUAUGUGUUUAGAGAUUUCCAUAUUCUACGUAAUACAAAAUAGUUUAACCUAUUUCUCUCCUUUUGUUUUGUUUGACUAUUAAUAUUUUUUUAAGAAAAUAUAUCUUCUGUAUAAUUACUAAGAAUAAGUUUUUUAAACUGAAUAGUUUGUAAUAAUGGUAAAUGGUAAGUUUUUUUUCUAUUUCCUUAUACGCCAUAUACUACUUGUGAGUUAGGAAAAAACAUAGAUCAAAGAGUAAACGUAGAGAUUUUCUUAUUAGUCUUCACAAUCACUUAAAACAAUAAUAAAAACUUAUAUUACUCUUUUAUCUUAGACUUUUUGUUAUCUUGUUUAAUAGGAAGACAAUGAAAAUAGAACAAAAAGAGAAAGACUCAUUAGCAUAAACGCUCUAAGUAUUGCUACAAAUUUACGUAAAGGACUUUACAUAACCAAAUAUAAACAGAGUAGGUACAUCAGAUUUCAAAGACAAGAACUAACAAAAGCAACGAGAUGGUUCUGCAAAGUGACAAUGCUAACACAGGAACCAAACUUGGUCUCGCCGGUCUUGGCUACUCUUUGAUGGAUAUGUAACAUCCCGAUUUUUGGUAUAUGCGAAAAGGAUUAAAAUAAUUGAUUUGGUUACUUAUGUUACCAAAGUUGACUUAUCUUUAUGGUUAUACAUUCGUUUAAAACUCCAUGGUUAGGCAACCAAACUGAUUGUACAAGACGCCAAUGGAGGUUGAAUAUCCGAAGUGUCUUCAAAUACAAGAAACUGAUGUUACAUGGACGUGGCAUGCACGGCUAGGACAUGUGAACUUUGGAGUCAUGAAGAAUAUGGUAGACAAGGAGAUCGUAGUAGGGAUGCCUCAGGUGAUACACGAGAAAGAUGUGUGCAGCGCCUACUUAGUUGGGAAGCAAACUCGAAAUUCUUUCCCGCCUAAAGCAAAGUAUCGAGCAUCACACGCAUUGGAGUUGGUACAUGGUGACUUGUGCGGCCCGAUAUCACCAUCAACACCAGCGAACAAUAUAUAUGUAUUCGUCUUAAUUGAUGAUUACUCAAGAUAUAUGUGGACGAUGCUGCUAAGAGAGAAGAGUGAAGCGUUAAAUCGGUUCAAAAAGUUCAAGGAGUACGUGGAGAAUCAAACGAAGCUAAAACUCAAGAUUUUUCGCACCAAUAGAGGAGGAGAGUUCACAUCUUCUGAGUAUAUUCGUUUUUGUGAAGAAAACGGUGUAACUAGACAUCUCACUGCACCGUAUACACCGCAACAAAACGGUGUGGUUGAGAGAAGAAACAAAACAUUAAUGGAGAUGACUAGAACUUUGAUGAAAGCUAUGAAGAUACCUAAUCAGCUAUGGGAAGAAGCAGUACUUCAUUCAACGUAUCUCAUAAACCGCAUUGCUACAAAGGCUUUGGAAAACAAGACUCCAUACGAAGGCUUGUAUGUUAAGAAACCGAACAUUGAGCAUCUAAGGGUCUUUGGAUGUGUAGUUUUUUGCAAAAAUCAGCAAUCCUCAUCUCAAGAAGCUGGAUGAUCGAUCAAGGAUGGUGAUCAACCAAGGCACAGAGUCCGGCUCAAAAUCUUACAGGCUCUAUGAUCCGGUCGUGAAGAAGAUAGUUGUUAGUAGAGAUGUAAUCUUUGACGAGAACAAAAGUUGGGAUUGGUCCACACUAUCAACAAACGUAGACGAAGAACCAGGAUCAUUCAAGCUUUCUCAUAUUGAUGUUACAAAAGAAGGAGAUGGUGAUGAGCAUCAAAAUCACCAACACCACGAAGAGCAAAACAAUAAUGAAGAAGAAGAAGCUGUAGACGCAGGUGAACAAGAGCAAGUAGCAGAGAACAACGAUGCAAACCAAGACCAGCAUGUAACAUCAAGAUAUGGUCGUAACAUCAGAAAACCAAAGCGGUUUGAUGAUUACAUCCUACUCGCUGAAGUUGAAGGUGGCAGACUCUUGCUCACCAUCGAUGGUGAACCAGAAACUUACAUCGAAGCUGUAGUGAUACAAACUUGGAUCGAUGCAAUGAAGGUAGAAAUCAAAUCUAUCAUCGAAAACAAGAUCUGGAAGCUCGUCAAGAAGCCGGCAGGUGUGAAACCGAUAGGUUUGAAGUGGAUCUAUAAGAUCAAGAGGAAUGCAGAUGGAACGAUGAUCAAAUACAAAGCAAGGCUAGUUGCAAAAGGCUACUUGGAACAACAAGGCAUAGACGUUGACGAAGUGUUUGCACCAGUUGUUCGGAUAGAAACCAUACGACUACUCUUGGCUUUAGCAGCAACUAAUGGAUGGGAGAUCCAUCACUUAGAUGUGAAAACUGCGUUCCUGAACGGAGACUUAAAUGAGGAUGUAUACGUGACUCAACCAGAAGGCUUUGUGGAGAAAGGAAAGGAGGAUCCUGUGUACAAACUUAGCAAAGCACUAUACGGUUUGCGUCAAGCUCCGAGAGCUUGGAACAUCAAACUCGACCGUGUUCUCAAGGAGAUGGAGUUCACGAAGUGCACCAAGGAAUCUGCGGUAUAUCAAAAGAAAGAGAAGGGAGAGCUUCUGAUCAUAGCUAUAUAUGUUGAUGACUUGUUUGUAUAACAGCGUCUUCACUCAACGUUAUCAAGCAAUUCAAAGAUGAUAUGUCAAGAAGAUUUGAGAUGUCAGACCUCGGGAAGCUUACAUACUAUCUUGGUAUAGAAGUAACGCAAGGAGCUGAUGGCAUUCACAUCAAACAAGAAGGAUACGCGCAAGGUAUACUUGUCAAGACGAAGAUGUAGUCAUGUAACUAUACUCAUGUUCCGAUGCACACGAGUUUGAAGUAUCAAAGGCAGAGGAGGAGCCUGAGAUUGAUGCAACAUCGUAUCGAAGCAUCAUAGGAUGCUUAAGGUAUCUUCUUCAUACACGACCGGACUUGGCGUUUUUGGUUGGUGUAUUAAGCAAAUAUAUGCAGAGUCCAAGAGAGAGUCAUGGAGAAGCAGUGAAGCAUCUACUACGAUACAUAAAGGGCACUACAGAGUAUGGCUCUUCUUCAAACGGGAUGGAACAACGAAGAUUACAGGUUACAGUGACAACAGCCAUAACAUAGACGUUGAUGAUGGAAGAAUCACUACAGGGUUUAUGUUCUACCUAGGAACAUCGCCGAUCACGUGGACAUCAUGCAAGCAACCCACAGUGGCACUCUCUUCAUGUGAGGCGGAGUUCAUGGCAGCUACGGAAGCUGCAAAACAAACAAUAUGGUUGAAGGAGUUAAUGGCCGAGAUCAUGAACAAAGAAGACAAGAAGGUCGUGUUGAAGAUUGACAACAAGUCAGCAAUUGCCCUCACCAAGAACCCGGUGUUUCAUGGUAGAAGCAAACACAUACUCGCGAAGUACCAUUUCAUUUGAGAAUGUGUGGAGUUCGACUUUAUCGAAGUGAAGCACGUACCUGGAGUGGAGCAGAAGGCAGACAUACUCACUAAACCAUUGGCAAGGAUCAAGUUCGAAGCAAUGCGCAAGUUCAUCGGAGUUCAGAAGAUCAACAUACCUAAGAUUCAAGUUGGAAUUAAGGGGAAGAAUGUUGGAUAAUUCCAAUUAACUUGAAGAGCAAGUUAACUCAUUAAAGUGAAGUUUGAUGGGUUAAGGAAAAAAAGAAAACAUAUCGAGCUUAGGAAUGUUUUCAUAUUAUUAUUAGGAAAAGAUGUAGCUUCGCCCUUAGGAAAAGAUGUAGCUUCUUACUAUAUAAAGAGUUCUCAUGGAGAAAUGUUCCAUCAAGAGAAACACAUUGAAAGGUUUAGUUUUGAGAAAGUUUCUAAAUCUAAUAAUAAGUGCUAGUUCUUAUAAUCUUUGUGUUUGUGCAACUUUAAAGAUAACGAGAUAUGCAGAGAGAGAGUCAAAUAGCGGAUAGACCUUUAAGGUUGAAGAUUACACCUCUGAAACCACCAGGAUGCAAUCUCGUUUCGGUUCAGUAGAGUAUGUUAGUGUAUAAAGUCGUCUUGUUACUUGGUGGUAGAUUGUGUAGAUCAAGUUAACACACAGUUGUGAAAGUUCCACAGUGGAAAGUUAAAUCUACGUUAGAAGGAUCCUAAAGGAUAUCGAUCAAGGAGUAGUAGCCAAGAUCAGCGAGACCAAGUUUGGUUCCUGUGUUAGCAUUGUCACAUUUACAGAACCAUCUCGUAACUUUUGUUUUUUAAAUUCUCGUGUUUGAAAUCUAGUGUACCUAUUUUGUGUAUAUUUGGUUCUGUAAAGCCUCUUACAUAAAUUUGUAGCAAUACUGGAGAGUUUAUGUUGAUGAGUCUUUCUCUUUUUGUUCUAUUUCAUUGUCUUCCUGUCAAACAAGAUAACAAAAAAGUCUAAGAUAAAAGAGUGUUUCCAUGUCUCCAAAGCUCGGAAACAGCUGUUUUAAGAAUAGCUACUCCAUUCUCCAUUCUGGACUGCAACAGCUUCCUGAAAAUGAAUAUAAUCAGACAAAUGUUUAAUAGAUUAACUAAAACUUGUCCAAUCAUCAUAUUUUUACUUUUUCACAUAUAAAAUGGUAGAAACAUGCUGUACUUACAAACAAAAAACAGAAGUUGCAAUGUAAGAGUGGUGAAAAAAGCAUACCAAUAAUGCUGGAGAGUUUGGAAUUUACUGAUUUAUACCGUGCCAAAAGAAUGAAUCAUUGAACAUCUAUGUAGAGUCAGUUAAAACAAUGUUUGGACUUUGGAGUAACGUAUUACACUGCAACGAUUCAUUAUUCAAGCCCAAAAAUUCCAUUGAACUAAACGCAUUCAACAUCCAAAAAUACUUGACAUAGAUAUUAAAAACAACAUGAGAAAAAACUUGUCUGCUACGAGGACAUUUAAACAACAAGUAUCUUAAAAAGACGCUGGUAAGGUUUAACCAAAAACAGAGGCAUCCCAAUGAGUUUUCUUCUAGGCGACAGGGAUCAUCUCAGGAUAAUCGACGGCUGUGAGGGGAGCUUCUGGUAGAAGAGCAGCCGGAGCAGCAACCUGAGCUGGUGCGGAGUUGACAUCUUCUUCCUUGGGAGUAUGAAUGAUGACAACAUCAGGUAGUGGUGUCUUUGGUCCAAGUACACCCUUAGGGUCCCAGUCAAGCAUGACCUUGACCUUGAUUCCAAGCACACCCUGCACCAUUUGGAGUUUAAACAGACAAGUUAAACAUCUCUGGUUCACAUAGUCAGUCAACAGGAGGGAACUCAGGAAGAAGAAACUCUCACCUGUCUGAGGAGAACAUGUCUGACUGCAGAGUCGAUGUACUCCUUGGUAGGUUGACCAGAGGAAACCAUGUAACCGUCCUUGAAUUUCAUGGACUUGGCACGUGCUGCACGGAGCUUUCCACUCACAAUCACCUGAGUAAGCAUUUCAAACGAAUAACGUCUGAGAAUUUUAUGUGGAGAAGAAAUAAAAACAAUUAGAGAGUACUGGGAUUUGUCAUCACCUCACAUCCCUUAGCGCCACUCUCCAUGACGAAUCUCAAGACACCAUAGCAUGCCCUAUAUUAGCAGCACAACAUCACUCCAGUAUUAGCAGACAACUACAAAACAACUUAGAGAAUGUCUCUAUGAAGGAAAAGGACUUGACGAGUAAACUAAUCACACUCUCUCUUGCUAAUAUUUUUUUGCAGUUAAGAUAACAGACAAACAUGAGUGAGUGUACCGGUAGUUAACGAAUAAAUAGUCUGGCGCUAGGGUUUCCGAGUCUCGUGCAUGGGCUCUUCUGUUCCUUUUUUUUUAAAUUAGGCCCAUUAGUUUGAUAAAUGCUUGCUUGGGCUCAUUUAUUGAUAAUCUCGGCCUUUUAUUUUAUAAAUGGGUAAAGACUUCCUUUUUUCAAUAGCUAGAGAAAUUAUAUGUGUGAUAAAUACAGAAGGAAACACGCUAACACACAAACGUCUGAUCUCAAUGUUCUUUUGACAAUUUCUGAAGCCAAAUGUUUGUAUUAUGUAGCAGGUUCUCUUGCUUCCCAAUAAGAUAAGUUUUAGCAUCCCAAGUAUUGUUUUCUUUAAGCAUCAAUAUUGGAUUUAUCUUAAAGAAAAACUAUGAAGUAAGUGGGUUGGUAACAAGAAAACGUUUACCACUAACAAAUUAUUAAAAUUUCUUUUAAUUUAGUAAUCCAUUCGUUUCUAAUUAACAUUUUCUUUUGUUAUUUUCACAUAAUAGGUAAAUAUAAUAAAGUUUGACUAUUAAUAUAUUUGUGAAGAACAAUUUUAUUAAGUUUAAACUAAAAAUAUAUAGAUAUGAUUAUAACUAAUAAAAAAUACUUAUAAAAUUCAAAAUUUUAUUUAAAAAAAAACAUUAAUUAUUUGGAAAUAGAAAGAGUAUUUAUAUAGGUAUUUUUCUAAGACGGGAAUACAUCAUAUAGUGUUUAGAGUAAAGUUAUAUUAGGUUGUUUAUGUGAUUUUGUAUUUCACAAAUAUGUAUUGUUUUUUUUUUUUUUUUUUUUUCAAAGAUAAAACCUCUGUAACAACUAAAACGAAUGAGCAUGUAACAAAACAGAAAAAGGGUUUGUACUUUGCAACAUAAGUAUUAUGAAAAAUGACUUUGUAAAUUAUAAUUCUUUUUGUGAACAAAGCAGUGUGAUGAAAAACCAAUCAUUAACACUUCAUAAAUGGUGAAAGCAAAAAAAAAAAAAUUUUACAGAAUAAAUCUAAUGUUUUUUUUUUUUUGAAAAAGGGCUUUCAUAUUAAAAAAAACGAUAAAUGUUACAAGAUAAGACAUGAGUCUUAUAGUUUGAUAAAGUUUGCAUGAAAAGAUUGAAUCUCAACCAAUGAAACAACCAAAGUUGAGACUAGAAUAACCAACACCGUAAUGAAAGGCAAUAACUAGUGAUAAGAACCACGACCGCGGCGGCCACGCUUCCCUCUCCCUUGAACCGUCUUCCAUUCCAUGUCUUGGUAUUUGCUAGGGGGUUUUGUUUCCCUCCCACCUCUUGUCAAGCUGAGCGAGCUAGAAGGCUCGGUCCCAUCUUCAUCCACUCCCACAUCUCUUGACCCUUUGAACUGAGCAGGGCUCUCAAAUGCAAAGGGUGUAUGUGUUGUGGCUUGAGGACCAACGACUAAAGUUUCACUAACCUCAGUGUUGGUAACGGUUGAUGGAGAUGACUCCAUAAUAGAUGCUGCAGUGGGAAUAGGUUGUGAAUCUACUAAAGUGGGUAAAGUGGGGAUAAAGUUUGGCGAGGCAGUCGGGUUCUCCUGUUGAAGGGUAGGAGUAGCUUCUAGUUCAGAUAAGAGACCUUCAAUCUCUAUGGUAUGUUUCUCAGGCUCAUGGGCACCAUCAUCUUUAGUUUGAAGAGAAGUUUUUCCACUAACAUGUAGAUCAUUUUUCUGGAUAGUUGGUACAGAGUAUUCAACAUUAUCCUUUUGCUGCAUAACAGUAUCAAUAUCCACAAUAGGAACAUCAGAGCUAGUGUCUUGCGAGGUUGAUGCGGAGCUAGGAAUAUGUAUUGUUAAACUUCCCUCACCUUGUAUAGUUUGAGAAGUGUUAUAUUUAAUAUUAUUCCUUCCUCUUACAAAUCACAGAUAUAUGCAUGGAUGGACAAAUUAGACAAAUGGAUUUGAUAUUAUUUCUCUUUACACACCUUAUGAUGAACUGUUAAACCCCUCGACCAGCGGUUUUAACUAUUUUCUUUAACCAUUUUGUUUUUAGGUGAAUCUUAUUUUAGACUAUGAAAUCCAAAGCACUUAUCCAUUUGUUUUUCACUGUAAUGACCAAAAAAAACAAACUCACACAAUUAUCAAAAAAAUCCAGCAAGGUCCAACAAAAAAAACUAACCUCCAAAAGUCUUUAUAAAUUGAUCACCAUUCACAUUUCAAGCAACCAAAACACAAGAAACAGCCAAAAAACAUGUCGACUUCUAAAACCAUUGCCCUCACUCUAUUCCUCGCGACAACACUAUUCGCGUCCUGCAACGCAGCCGCAAACGCCACAACCAAACCUCUAUUCCCAGCCAUUCUAAUCUUCGGCGACUCAACCGUGGACACAGGCAACAACAACUACCCUCUAAACACAAUCUUCAGAGCUACACAUUUUCCCUACGGCAUUGACCUCCCAGACCACAAAGCCAACGGGAGAUUCUCAAACGGGAAACUAAUCCCCGACAUACUCGCAGGCAAAUUCAACAUCAAACAGUUUGUUCCUCCUUUCUUACAACCAAACCUCUCCGACCAAGAGAUUGUAACCGGAGUCUGUUUUGCAUCAGCCGGUUCGGGUUACGAUGACCUAACCAGCCUCUCCACUCAGGCCAUUCCCGUCUCGGAACAACCCAAGAUGUUCAGGAAUUACAUUGCUCGUCUUAAGAGUAUCGUGGGAGACAAGAAAGCUAUGGAGAUUAUAAACAACGCUUUGGUGGUUAUAAGCGCAGGGACUAACGAUAUGGUCUUGAAUUUUUACACCAUUCCUACAAGGCGUCUUGAGUUUCCUUUUAUCUCUGGUUACCAUGAAUUUAUACUUAAGAGGCUUUAUGGUUUCAUCGGGGUAAGGCUUCAAACAUGUUCUCAAAUCAUAAGUGAAACCCAAAAGUUUUGCUAAUCUUUUUUGAUGUGUUCUAUGUGCAGGAGCUUUAUAGUUUAGGUGCCCGGAACAUUGCGAUCGCAGGUUUACCUCCGAUUGGUUGUUUACCGAUUCAAAUGACUGCUAAGUUCCGCAACAUCUUUAGGUUCUGCUUAGAACAAGAGAACAAAGACUCUGUGGUAUACAAUCAGAAACUUCAAAAGCUAUUACCUCAGUUCCAAUCAUCGCAUACUGGAAGCAAGAUCUUUUACGCUGAUAUAUACAACCCUAUUUUUGACAUGAUGCAAAACCCUAGCAAAUAUGGUAUAGACACAAUAUUUUCUUGUGCCACAAGUUUUCCUGUAUUGAGCACUAUGAUCUCACUCAUGUGGAAUUUUUUAUAUUUAAAACAGGGUUUACAGAGACGAAGAGAGGAUGUUGUGGAACAGGGUUUUUGGAGACGAGUUUCAUGUGUAAUGUUUUCUCUCCAUCGUGUCCGAAUCACUCUGAGUUUUUGUUCUUUGACUCCAUUCAUCCAUCAGAAGCUACCUAUAAUUACAUAGGAGACUUGCUCGAUACUCAGGUCCGUGAGUGGAUUGCGGCUUAAGUCAUCAUCACAUAUUUGUAAAAACAAAAGUAUUUAUUUGUUUUCAAUGCUAAUAUUGUAUUAAUGUACUUUAUAUUUGCUAUCCAAAAAUAUUGCGAAUGGAGUUCUACUUUUUGUAGAAUCUUUCCAAGUAUUGAAAUGCUUUGGCAGAUUCUUGAAGUAGAAACUUAGCACUUGAGCCUACGAAUCUCCUUGGUAAUGACAUGCUAAUGUGUUUUGAACCUUAAUACAAAUCAUCUCCCUAAUCUAAACAAAAAGCUACUGAAACUGUAAACUACAAACAUACAUAGUCUCUCCUGAUUCAUCUCCAUUACACACCAUACCUCCUUAAGGCUUUGCUUAAACUCGGCAUCACAUUGUAUGCAUGCUAAAGAUCGUCUGUUCAAUAAUGGAGCGAACCUAUAACCCAAUCAAUAGAGAUGUCAACGAAAAAUGAAGUUGGUACUGUUUAAUGUUUGAUGUAUGAAAUGGGAAUUGUGAACGGAAUGAUAUUGAAAAGCGGAAAGGACUCUUUGACGUUUUUGAGGAAGCUAAACCUGUGCUUCUAGUUUAUUUGUAUUCUAACAGUGUGACGAAAAACUACUUUGAGAAUCUGGUGAAAGCUCUGGAGAACGGUCUUGCUGAUGUAGACUCGCACGCAGCUUGCAGCAGCAAAUCAACGAGCUCUAAAUCAACAGCUUGCAGUAGCAAAACAAGAGGUAAAGGCAAAGGCAGUUCCAGAUCCAGCAGAAACCAAGAUGACAACUGAUAAUAUAUUAUCUCACGUCCUCGUUAAGGUAUAAAACCCGAAUUGGUCUUAACAUUACAUCCAGCAGUUUCUUCAGACAUUUGGAGAAUGCAGAUGAUCAAAGUGAAGCUCUAGUUCGUCUCUCAUGUGGGUGUGAGCGUUUGAUUUGUAGGGUUUGUGAUACGGUUCCUUCUUAUGUAUAGUGUAAAAGAAUGUGUAUGUGUUAUCUUUACACACGUUGUAACUUCACUUCUGUCAUCUGCUCUGCUAUGGCAACUUCUGUGAAACCAAACCUAGUGAACUCUUGCGUCUGGUUUUAAAGAAAAAAGAAGCAAAUGGUACAUGCUUUGUGUUUGGCUUUUCCUGAUCCUAUAUGUUUGCAAUACUAUAUUCAAGUUACAUCUCAAGAAAUUGUUAGCUGUUUAAUUGUUACAACUUUAUAUCCAAAUUUGAUACAAGAGUUCUCUACUUGUUGCAGCUCAAAAAAGUUUACACAAUUUACAAGAACAAAACCAGAUUACACAAAGGAUUCUUACAUUAAAAAUUUGCUCAAUUCCCUAAAUCUACCCUAAUUUUCAGUCUAAUUUACUCAAACACCAACCAUUCAAUCAGAUUACACAAAGCAUACAAUCAAAUCGUCACAACAAAAUCCAACCAAUCCCCAAAACAGACAAGAUUGAUCGAGAAUGACAAAAAAUUCAUCCAACUCUGAAAACAGAAGACAGAGGAGGAACACAUACCUGAUUUUGAUUGGAAGCGGCGGAGAAGGUUUGUAUAUGAGGACAGAGCGGUGUGGAUUGAGCGACAACAGAUCGGGAGAGAAGAGGGAGACGAUGAAAACGAGAAAGACCGUAAUAAGAUUCGGUCUUCCUUUCAGAGGCUGACACGUGCACUUAAGGACUAGCAUAAAAACUUCUUAAUUAGCAAACGUCCCUCUCCUUUUUCUUUAUUAUUGAUUUAAAUUAAAUGAUUAUUAUGCUAAGAUAUGUCCAUAAGGACGGCGAUAAUCGUGCUCUAAGAUCAAGAUAAAAACAGGCAGAAAACAUCAGAAACCCAAACCACGAUGACGUGGCGAUUUGCUGCAUUAUUACUGGAUGAAUUUACAUGCUGAUGUGGACCCCCUCAGAGGGCUUUAUAUUUGGCUUUUAGUAUAGUUUAGAUUAUAAGAAAACAAUAUAUAUUUUCGAUAAUCAAAUCAUUUGUAUGGGGUAUUGAUUGUUGAGUGAUCUUUAUUGGAAAAUAGUUUAGACUACAAUCUUAAGAAAAAUGUAUAUGAUGGCUGACCUUUAUUGGCUGUAAAUGUGAGGGAUGGGAGAAGAGAGUUGACUUUUGGAAUCAGUUCAUGCAUGUAAACUUGGGAGCAAAGCAUGGACGAUUGACACUUAGUGCUCAGCGUGCGACACUGACGGAUCUUGUCCAUACUAGCCGACCAAUAACGUUCAUAAUCAAUUUUUUACUGCUUAACCAAUCUAAAGUUAUCUGUUAAACCGGUUUAGAGGGUUCAAGAGUUCCGCUGAAUUCGUGAAAGAAUGUGGCUUUAAAAAUUAAAUAUUUUGUGACACAAAAAUUAUUAAGUGGAAUUUAAGAAUAUUUAUCUAGUUAUUAAUACUAAAGACAACAGUUAAUGACAAGAAACAUGUCAGAAUCUAAGAAGCACGUUGUUGCCUUGCUGCUGAAGAAACCCAGUGUCCGUUAACCAAAUCAAAAUGCCUUCUGAGACGUUCAAGUGGGUACUCGCACACAUCAUUGGUCGUGGGAAAGUAAACGGAGAACAUAUCGCCUUUUUGUCCGAUGAUCUCUCCGAACCACCACGCGUCUAAGUCGAAAGCAUCAACCUUAUCAUGACGUCUAAACGUUGACGGCUGAAAUAAUUUGGGUGGCAUCGGACGGAUUUCGUCAGCGGAGAUGAUUUCGAUCAAUGGCAUAGGGUCUUCACCUUCUGUCACAAGGUUCUUGUACUUAACCUUGUAGAAGGAGCCGCAGGGAAGCUUGGACAGUACCUUGGCCUCGAAGUAAGACCCGAAAAAACCAUCUUGUUUGCUGCAUACUUCAACUUUAUCUCCUUUCACGAACUCCUCUUCCAUUGUUAAAGAAUGUUUAUCACUGAUUUUGUGUUUUAUUUGUGAAGAUACAAGAAGAGGGGUUGUGUGUAUUUAUAAAGAGUUUGUUUCCUUUUUUGUAAUUUCCUUUUUAGUUUCGAACUGCUUGUUGUUUCCUUUUCUUCUCUGUUUUUUUUUGUUUCAUUUGUUGGAUUAAGCUUGAAGAAAAAAAGAAACUUGAGAAAUAAGUUAACUUCUAAUCCUACCGAGUUAUGGUUUAAAGGAUUAGGAAAAUAUCCAAAUAUGUUAUACCUAAUGAGUUUAGGAAAUUUGAGAUAUAUAUAAGGAGAUGCAAGUAUGUUGCAUAACUUAUGAGUUUUGUGAUUGUGUGAGAGCUUGAGGUUUUUGAGUGAGUUUUCCUCAAGAGAUUAAUAAGAGAGUUAUUCUUAUUAUUGAGUUUAUACAAUUCGAGAUUCUAUAUCAUUUUCGUAAUUAAAUGGAAAUUAAAUGAUUAGGCAAUGAGGAGGCGUAUUAUUCUAUUGACAAUCUAAUGUACAUGAAAUUUUAUUGAUAAUCUAAUGUACAUGAAAGUGACUGUAUCGUCACUGGUUAUCUUAUAUUUUACAAUUAAGGCAUAAUUGAUAAUUUUGGCAAAUAUUACUAAAAAGCAUGUGUAAUGAGAUUCUCAAUCUCAAUCUCAAUCUAAAUCGAAAUAUAAAUAUUUUAUAUUCUAAUAAUGAAUCUCUCAAAAUAAUAAGAAAACUACACUAAAAUAUUUUUAUUUUUAUUUGAAUAUUCAAUAUCAUUAAUUCUAAUAUAUUUUAUUUUAUUACAUUUUGAGACAUUUUUAAUACUAUACCCAAGGAAAAUAAGUAAACGUUUGUUGAAAACGCUAAAACGCCGUUAAAAAUAAAUUACAAAAGAAAAAGGAAACGGCAACGCUGAACGCUUCAUAAAACUCGUACAAUAACAGUCCUAAACCCUUUGUUUAGAUCUCAAAGCCCUAAAAUCGCAAUUCUACCAGUCUUCUUCGCCCCGCCGCCUCUCCCUACUACUCUCACCGGAGAAUGAGUUCCCCCGCCGCUCCUCCACCGUUAUACCACUCGAAAAUCGACGCAAAGAACGUCAACAGAGCCUUAAAGUCUCUCCUAAAAUGGCGUGACUCCAAAUCCAACCCACAGAACUCAUCAGAGCCCCUCGAUAACAACAACAACAGCGACGACGGCGGCUUCGUCUACCUAGUCGUAACCCUAAAGAAGCCUCCUCAAAUCGACCGCACCAAUCCGAUAACGAUCCCUCUCCCUCACCCUCUAAUCGACUUAAUCGACUCCCCUCCGGAGCUUUGCCUAAUCAUCGACGACAAGCACAAGAACAAAAUCACGAAGGAGACGGCUCUGAAGAAGAUCGAAGCGGAUAACGUCCCGAUCACGACGGUGAUCAAGGUCUCGAAGCUGAAGGCGGAGUUGAAGAAGCUGGAGGCGGAGGAAGGGAGGCGCCACGAGCUCUUCUUCGCGGAGAGGAGGCUGAUGCCGAUCUUGCCGAAGCUUCUGGGGAGGGAGUUUGUUAAGAGGAAGAAGAGUCCGAUCGCGAUUAACUUGAGGAGCGGGAACUGGAAGGAGCAGGUUGAGAGAGUUUGUGAAUCGGCUUUGGUCUACGUGGGAACGGGGACGUGUAGCGUUGUGAAGGUGGCGAAGUUGUCUAUGGGGAGGAAGGAGAUUGCGGAGAAUGUUGUGGCGGUUAUGGAGGGGAUCGCGGGUUCGAUUCCUGGGAAGUGGAGGAAUGUUAAGUUGUUUCAUUUGAAGUUGCUUGAAAGCUUGGCUUUGCCGGUUUAUGAAUCAGUUUGAGAUAUGGAGAGCUAUUGAAUGUUUUGGUUGGUUACAAGUUUUUGGGUUAAUUUUAGUGGAGUUUUCUCUUAUAUGAUGUGGCUGAAAGUGUUUAGAUUAUGCCGAGAUUGAACUGAACAGAACCAUUACAAUGCAACAUGUGAUUUGAAUGCAGAAAAAACACUUCCUUUUCAGGUAGACGUAACAAAUCACAUAGAAUGGCUUUAGAGAUUACAUUUUUGUUAUGUAUAUGAAAGAAUCAAACUUUCAUACUUUAUUUGAACGACUUUGUAUCCAAAAGUGAAUGUUAAUUUGUCCAGUCAAAUUCUUUCAAAAAAAAAAAAAUUUGUCCAGUCAAAAACUUGUUCACUAGAGCUGCGUUUCAUCUCAUGCUCAUACGCUAAAAACUUGUUCAUAAACUCAAUUCCGACACUUUCCUACCAAAAAGUUACCGAGUUGAAACCACUUUAACUUCCAGACUCAGUGUUUAAUCUGUAUGUUUGUCAGUAGAGCUUGGGAGUUCGUGUAUUGAAUCAAAGAUAAAACCUCUGUAACAACUAAAACGAAUGAGCAUGUAACAAAACAGAAAAAGGGUUUGUACUUUGCAACAUAAGUAUUAUGAAAAAUGACUUUGUAAAUUAUAAUUCUUUUUGUGAACAAAGCAGUGUGAUGAAAAACCAAUCAUUAACACUUCAUAAAUGGUGAAAGCAAAAAAAAAAAAAUUUUACAGAAUAAAUCUAAUGUUUUUUUUUUUUUGAAAAAGGGCUUUCAUAUUAAAAAAAACGAUAAAUGUUACAAGAUAAGACAUGAGUCUUAUAGUUUGAUAAAGUUUGCAUGAAAAGAUUGAAUCUCAACCAAUGAAACAACCAAAGUUGAGACUAGAAUAACCAACACCGUAAUGAAAGGCAAUAACUAGUGAUAAGAACCACGACCGCGGCGGCCACGCUUCCCUCUCCCUUGAACCGUCUUCCAUUCCAUGUCUUGGUAUUUGCUAGGGGGUUUUGUUUCCCUCCCACCUCUUGUCAAGCUGAGCGAGCUAGAAGGCUCGGUCCCAUCUUCAUCCACUCCCACAUCUCUUGACCCUUUGAACUGAGCAGGGCUCUCAAAUGCAAAGGGUGUAUGUGUUGUGGCUUGAGGACCAACGACUAAAGUUUCACUAACCUCAGUGUUGGUAACGGUUGAUGGAGAUGACUCCAUAAUAGAUGCUGCAGUGGGAAUAGGUUGUGAAUCUACUAAAGUGGGUAAAGUGGGGAUAAAGUUUGGCGAGGCAGUCGGGUUCUCCUGUUGAAGGGUAGGAGUAGCUUCUAGUUCAGAUAAGAGACCUUCAAUCUCUAUGGUAUGUUUCUCAGGCUCAUGGGCACCAUCAUCUUUAGUUUGAAGAGAAGUUUUUCCACUAACAUGUAGAUCAUUUUUCUGGAUAGUUGGUACAGAGUAUUCAACAUUAUCCUUUUGCUGCAUAACAGUAUCAAUAUCCACAAUAGGAACAUCAGAGCUAGUGUCUUGCGAGGUUGAUGCGGAGCUAGGAAUAUGUAUUGUUAAACUUCCCUCACCUUGUAUAGUUUGAGAAGUGUUAUAUUUAAUAUUAUUCCUUCCUCUUACAAAUCACAGAUAUAUGCAUGGAUGGACAAAUUAGACAAAUGGAUUUGAUAUUAUUUCUCUUUACACACCUUAUGAUGAACUGUUAAACCCCUCGACCAGCGGUUUUAACUAUUUUCUUUAACCAUUUUGUUUUUAGGUGAAUCUUAUUUUAGACUAUGAAAUCCAAAGCACUUAUCCAUUUGUUUUUCACUGUAAUGACCAAAAAAAACAAACUCACACAAUUAUCAAAAAAAUCCAGCAAGGUCCAACAAAAAAAACUAACCUCCAAAAGUCUUUAUAAAUUGAUCACCAUUCACAUUUCAAGCAACCAAAACACAAGAAACAGCCAAAAAACAUGUCGACUUCUAAAACCAUUGCCCUCACUCUAUUCCUCGCGACAACACUAUUCGCGUCCUGCAACGCAGCCGCAAACGCCACAACCAAACCUCUAUUCCCAGCCAUUCUAAUCUUCGGCGACUCAACCGUGGACACAGGCAACAACAACUACCCUCUAAACACAAUCUUCAGAGCUACACAUUUUCCCUACGGCAUUGACCUCCCAGACCACAAAGCCAACGGGAGAUUCUCAAACGGGAAACUAAUCCCCGACAUACUCGCAGGCAAAUUCAACAUCAAACAGUUUGUUCCUCCUUUCUUACAACCAAACCUCUCCGACCAAGAGAUUGUAACCGGAGUCUGUUUUGCAUCAGCCGGUUCGGGUUACGAUGACCUAACCAGCCUCUCCACUCAGGCCAUUCCCGUCUCGGAACAACCCAAGAUGUUCAGGAAUUACAUUGCUCGUCUUAAGAGUAUCGUGGGAGACAAGAAAGCUAUGGAGAUUAUAAACAACGCUUUGGUGGUUAUAAGCGCAGGGACUAACGAUAUGGUCUUGAAUUUUUACACCAUUCCUACAAGGCGUCUUGAGUUUCCUUUUAUCUCUGGUUACCAUGAAUUUAUACUUAAGAGGCUUGAUGGUUUCAUCGGGGUAAAGCUUCAAACAUGUUCUCAAAUCAUAAGUGAAACCCUAAAGUUUUGCUAAUCUUUUGCGAUGUGUUCUAUGUGCAGGAGCUUUAUAGUUUAGGUGCCCGGAACAUUGCGAUCGCAGGUUUACCUCCGAUUGGUUGUUUACCGAUUCAAAUGACUGCUAAGUUCCGCAACAUCUUUAGGUUCUGCUUAGAGCAAGAGAACAAAGACUCUGUGGUAUACAAUCAGAAACUUCAAAAGCUAUUACCUCAGUUCCAAUCAUCGCAUACUGGAAGCAAGAUCUUUUACGCUGAUAUAUACAACCCUAUUUUUGACAUGAUGCAAAACCCUAGCAAAUAUGGUAUAGACACAAUAUUUUCUUGUGCCACAAGUUUUCCUGUAUUGAGCACUAUGAUCUCACUCAUGUGGAAUUUUUUAUAUUUAAAACAGGGUUUACAGAGACGAAGAGAGGAUGUUGUGGAACAGGGUUUUUGGAGACGAGUUUCAUGUGUAAUGUUUUCUCUCCAUCGUGUCCGAAUCACUCUGAGUUUUUGUUCUUUGACUCCAUUCAUCCAUCAGAAGCUACCUAUAAUUACAUAGGAGACUUGCUCGAUACUCAGGUCCGUGAGUGGAUUGCGGCUUAAGUCAUCAUCACAUAUUUGUAAAAACAAAAGUAUUUAUUUGUUUUCAAUGCUAAUAUUGUAUUAAUGUACUUUAUAUUUGCUAUCCAAAAAUAUUGCGAAUGGAGUUCUACUUUUUGUAGAAUCUUUCCAAGUAUUGAAAUGCUUUGGCAGAUUCUUGAAGUAGAAACUUAGCACUUGAGCCUACGAAUCUCCUUGGUAAUGACAUGCUAAUGUGUUUUGAACCUUAAUACAAAUCAUCUCCCUAAUCUAAACAAAAAGCUACUGAAACUGUAAACUACAAACAUACAUAGUCUCUCCUGAUUCAUCUCCAUUACACACCAUACCUCCUUAAGGCUUUGCUUAAACUCGGCAUCACAUUGUAUGCAUGCUAAAGAUCGUCUGUUCAAUAAUGGAGCGAACCUAUAACCCAAUCAAUAGAGAUGUCAACGAAAAAUGAAGUUGGUACUGUUUAAUGUUUGAUGUAUGAAAUGGGAAUUGUGAACGGAAUGAUAUUGAAAAGCGGAAAGGACUCUUUGACGUUUUUGAGGAAGCUAAACCUGUGCUUCUAGUUUAUUUGUAUUCUAACAGUGUGACGAAAAACUACUUUGAGAAUCUGGUGAAAGCUCUGGAGAACGGUCUUGCUGAUGUAGACUCGCACGCAGCUUGCAGCAGCAAAUCAACGAGCUCUAAAUCAACAGCUUGCAGUAGCAAAACAAGAGGUAAAGGCAAAGGCAGUUCCAGAUCCAGCAGAAACCAAGAUGACAACUGAUAAUAUAUUAUCUCACGUCCUCGUUAAGGUAUAAAACCCGAAUUGGUCUUAACAUUACAUCCAGCAGUUUCUUCAGACAUUUGGAGAAUGCAGAUGAUCAAAGUGAAGCUCUAGUUCGUCUCUCAUGUGGGUGUGAGCGUUUGAUUUGUAGGGUUUGUGAUACGGUUCCUUCUUAUGUAUAGUGUAAAAGAAUGUGUAUGUGUUAUCUUUACACACGUUGUAACUUCACUUCUGUCAUCUGCUCUGCUAUGGCAACUUCUGUGAAACCAAACCUAGUGAACUCUUGCGUCUGGUUUUAAAGAAAAAAGAAGCAAAUGGUACAUGCUUUGUGUUUGGCUUUUCCUGAUCCUAUAUGUUUGCAAUACUAUAUUCAAGUUACAUCUCAAGAAAUUGUUAGCUGUUUAAUUGUUACAACUUUAUAUCCAAAUUUGAUACAAGAGUUCUCUACUUGUUGCAGCUCAAAAAAGUUUACAAAUGACACCAUUAUUGAUGCUACUAAAACUUAAUAAAUUGAAUGAUUUUUUUCUAUUCUCUCUUUUGAUUUUUUUUAUUCUCCAUUGUUCUCAAAUUUAAGCACAUUUUCUUUGUGACUUGUAGCACCAAAAACAAACACAAUAAAAAGAAAAUCGAAAGAUCAUUCUUUCUUCUUUAGUUUCUUAGACCUGAUGGUCUAUAGGUUUUGGAAUGAACAAGCUCCAUUGAUUUGUUCUUGGGAGCAUCAAGUAGCUUAGCUUUCUUCCUUGCUAAAGGGAACUCCAUGGAAUAAGACUUGGGACCAUUGUCCCCAACAUCUUCUUUGAACAUCUUUAUGCUCAAAGCAUUUAACAACGCCCUUGAGUACUGCCUAGACGCCAUCUUCCAGUCUGUUCCUGAUUUCAUCAUGGCCCUAAACUCAUCAAAGCUUAUCCUCCCAUCCUGUCACCAACCAAACAUGUUAGGAACCUCACAUGAAUCGGUUAAGUGUGAUUAUGUUUCAUUUACCUUGUUGAGGUCAACGUCAAAGAAGAUAUCUUUGAUCCACUGGUCACCACCAUGGCCUAGCUUAUCAUCAUCGAAUAGAGCUUCUUUGAGCUCAUCUAGCUCAAUAGACCCGUUACCGUUCUUGUCAAAAUACUUGAAUGCUUGCUGCAAAUGCUCAUCACAACCCAUUCUCUUCAAGUGUAUGGCUAGUGUCACAAACUCUUCACAGCUCAACGUCCCGUUUCCAUCUGUAUCAGCUGCAUCCAUAAGCAUCUUCACGUCGCCAUCGGGACAAACUUGUCCAAUCUUCUUCAGACCAUCUCUUAGCUCCUCAAAAGUCAAGUGUCCGUUCUUAUCAGUGUCCAUUGUCUGAAACAUUUGUAUUAUCGAUUCUAUCUCCUCGUUUGGUAGAUUGUCAGCUACUACCUGUAAAAAUUUGAAGGAUCAGUUACAAAAUUUAUAGAGUAGUAAAAGUAAAAUUAAUCAAGAAACUGUAUAUACCCUGAGGACUUUCUUCUUGAACCUGUUCAUCAACAAGAACUGUUGAAUCUUGGUCCUCACGCCAUCUCCAAGAUUCACAUUUGGUGCUCUCUCUGCGUUCUGGAUCCAUGGAUGUUCUGUAAUACAUAGUUUUUCCAUCAACUAAUGUCGUUUAUUGAUCGUUUUAUAUAGAUAAUGAAAUGGUAUUAUUAUAAUGAAGUUACCAAGGACUUCUUGAACCGUGAGUCUGCUAUAAGGAUUAGCAUCAAGCAUGUUCUUAACGAGUUCUUUGGCUUCACGUGAGACUUUUGGCCACGGAUCUCUCUCAAAAUCGAUGUUCCCUCUCACAAUUGCAUGAGCUAUUCCUUCCUCAGUCUCUGCCCAAAAGGGAGGCACACCACAAAGCAAGAUGUAGAGUAUAACACCAGCGCUCCAAACAUCGAUCUCCGGACCGUAGUUUCUUCUCAAAACCUCUGGUGCCAUGUAAUAAGGACUCCCCACAAUCUCAUUGAACCGCUGGGCUGCAAUAACCAUCCGUUUAAAGCAUAAUUUUUUCUCAAAAACUGUUUGUGAUGUAAUACUAUGGAGAUGUGGUUUUAGUACCUGGUUUGAAGAAAAUGGAGAGACCAAAGUCAAUAGCUUUGAGUUGUGCAGUCUCGGUUUCGUUAGAAAAGAGGAAGUUCUCAGGCUUAAGAUCUCUAUGGAUCACUCCAUGUUCAUGACAUACCUUGAGACACAAGAAAACAACAAUAAAGGCGGGAAAAAAACAAAAGAUACAAAGGAGAUUUGAAUUUUUUUCACACACCUUGACAACUUCAAGAAUGGUUUUAGCGACGGAUGCAGCGGCGCGUUCAGUGUAAUGACCUCGAGAGACAAUACGGUCAAAAAGCUCACCUCCUUCACAAAUCUCCAUGACAAGAUAAACCGCGUCUUUGUCCUCAAAAGCUUCCUUAAAGCUAACAAUGUUUGCAUGUUUUGGUAAAGAUCUCAUGAUCUCAACCUCUCUUCUCACAUCCUCAACGUCUAUCUCCGUCCUUAGCUUCUCCUUUGAUAUCCUCUUACACGCAAACCUGCUCAUAUUUGUUCCAUGAAAUCAAACAAAACAAAACAAAACAGUUUUUGCAAAAAAAGACAAACUUUCAAGAUUUCUAUUAUGUUAUCUGCCAGGUCCGAAACCACAACAUGUAUUAAAAAAAAAGAAUAUACCUUUCUCGAGUACUGAUCUCAAUACAUUCAUGAGUGACACCAAACUCACCACGGCCUAGUUCUUUCCCGAGCUCAUACUUGAGGAAGAUUCCAUCACCAAUGGGCUCGGGGAGAACACGGCUCGGUGGCUGGAAAAUCAAGAAAGAGUACUUGUCGAAGAAGUAUCGGUUUUAGGGUUAGAGGAUGUUUUGGUGCUACUACUGUUGUUUCGCCUUCUUGCAGGUCUCUUCCCAAAGGGAGAACCUUUCAAUGGCGACGAAACACAGCUUCCCAUGGGAUUUUUUUUUUCUUGGGUUUUGUUUGGAAUUAAUAUCCAAAAAACCACGAAUGAUCGAUGAAUGUACAAUCGAUCAAGCGAUUUUUUUCAAGAAGGAGAUUUAUUCAAAUGCACCCCAUGGGAAGGAAGAGAGAAGCUUUUGUGCUCAAGUUUCUUUUGUUAUUUUUUACUUUUUUUGUUUAUCUAAAUCUUUUUCUUAGGGGCUUCUGUCUUAUUCUUGUGAUAUUCUUGUGUGUUUCGUGUUUUCUAUGUUUAUUUGUUGCUUGUUUGAAAGAAAGAGGAAAGUCCUAAAAGAUUGGAUGGAUGGAGACUUCUUUCUAUAUUUGGUUUAUGACAGUCUGUUUGGUUAAGUUUUCUUUUUCAAAAAUUCGUUAACUUUCUUGCCGUUACUCCCGCCAUUUUCCAUGCGUCUUAAGAUAAGGGAUGAUCCAAACAUCACCCUUUCUAAAGUAUAUAUAUAAUUAAAUAUAUGUUCGUCUAUCAACUAUGAUAAAUUAUAUGCAUAAUCAGAAUAAUCCAUCUAAUUUUUUUUGCUCAAAUUAUAUAUUUAAUCAUAAUUUCAAAAAUUGCUUUAUUGUAUAUUUAGUAUCAAAAUUGAUUAAACAUUGGUUCCCCCUUUCCUUUUAGUUUUGACUAUGGAUGGGUUUGUCCUGAUCUCAAGAGGACUUGUAAGACUAUUUUCUAAAUCCUUGUCUUGUUGAACCAGUUUAACUAAAACAGAAUUUACAGACUAAUUAUAUCAAUAAAUUUGUUUUUUUUUCUCAUAAGUUUGUUAGAUAAUUGGAAAGUUUGUGAAAACAAUGAUGAAAUAGUAUACUGAAAAACUGGGAAAACUACCAAAUAUUUGCAAUCUGCUAAACAAUGAUAUAUUGGCAUACUAAAAUCUAAACUUCCUAAAUUUAACAAACCUUUUAUCAAACCAGUGAAAAAGAUAGAAAUUUAACUCAUCAUCUUUAAGACUGAGAUUAUUAAGAGUUACUUGGACAUCCAUGAGCGUUAAAUUUUGAAAAUUCAAAGUAUGAUCUUGUUCCUCUUUCAUCAUGGUGUUUAAGAUCUAAGCAAGCAGAUCUACAAAACGAUAAUAGCAUAUGCUAAAUUGAGGUCAAAAGUAAUGUCAAAAUGGCAAAGUUAAGUGUUUUUAUUUGCCAACAAGAAUGCAAAAUGUUUAUAAUGAACAUUUUGAAACAGAAAAUAUAAUCCUUCAGACGUUCCUUCUUUUAUUCUGAAUAAACUGCAGAAAACUGGGUUCUAGCAUCAGCUUCUUGAUAGUUUGACAGUGCAGAGAGUGGUGUUGCAAAGAACCUUAUAGGAACUUUCUAUGUGGUCUGCCUGCAUCUUCGUCUUGCAUAUGCUGUCAAACAAUUCAAGUUGUGAGUAUGUUAGCCUGACUGUGAAACACAAGAUAUCACUAAACUGUGUGGCAAGGCAACUAGUGACACAUAUAUCCUUAUUCGUAUUAAUCGUCAUUGAAAACUCCAACUAACAAGGAAUCACAUAAGUGUGUCCCUUGCACCAAUCCAUAUUCAAGAGCUCAUAAUUCAUAAACAAAAAAUGGAGUAAUAAAAAACCAAUGAGGACUGUAGCAAGAAACUGUUAAGAUUCAGAAAACACCACCAGAAACAGAUUAACUAGUUUUAGCUAAAAACAUUGAGGCUUCAAGAGGAGCAAUCAAAUCACAGUAACCGAACCAUCAUCAUCUAAGAGAUGAAAAUUGUUGCAUUUUCAGAAUCCGAUCGUUCCACCAGAAUAAUAACUGAUCUGAUAAUCUAUCAUAUUCAUACGAAUCGAGUGAGAUUGAGAGAAAGGAAGAGAGGGAUUGAACUGACGAAAUCUUUGACGACGCCCUUGUAGACGAGGAUGGGGAGAGCGAUGCCGAAGAUUCCGGUGAGAGCGAAGUUGCGACGUGUCCAUCGGAAGUUAUGCUCGAGAUUCUCCCUGGCGGAUCCCCAAUCCUCUAUGAACUUGUUCUUGUUCGUCUCCAUUCCUCCUCCCAUCUUCGCUUUCUCGAUUCCACCCUUUCUCUUCUUUUUAGUUUCUCUGCGCGAUUCAUCUCAGACUGUGGAGAUAGAUACCGGUUCAAUUAAAAUUAUUUUUGAUUUCGAUCAAUUUACUAAUAAACCGGGCGACAACAAAUGUGAAAGUGACUUAAGCUCAAGGCCCGGCCCAAAGUUUCGUUUAAACGAGUUUACAUCAAUUUACAAGUUAGGCACUCCCGCGUAAAAUUUAAAAUUGUUCAAGAUUUUACGAAACUAAUACGGGGAAAACAUUACAUACGAAUACGAUUGAUUCUUGAAUUUUUCACAAACUGAUAUAUGUUUCCUUAAUUAGAAAGUUUGAACUGUGAGAAGAGAAUCUAAAGAACGUACUUGGGAUGCCCAGAAGAUCCGACAUCUUUUUGUUGAGGAAGAUGCUACUGUGAUCUUGGGAAUGAAGCUAAAUCUUCAGUGGGAAGAUACAAUGGUCUGGGCUUUUGGAACGUAUGAUUCUCAAAGCGGCUAUAAACUACUGAAUCUCAUACAGACAAUUGAGAGUCCAAUGACAGCUUCGAAUCUACCUCCUGUUGAGAGAAACUUGUGGUCUAAUCUAUGGAAGGUGAAAACGCUACCUAAGGUUAGGCACUUCAUGUGGCGUGCACUGGCUGGAGCCUUAGCUGUCUCGGAACGGCUGGCUUCUCGAGGUAUCAAUGUUGAAGCUACUUGUAAGGUAUGUCAGUCUCAACCGGAAAGCAUUUGUCAUGUUCUUUUUCACUGCCCGGUUGCGAAAGAGGUAUGGAGAUUAUCAGGCUUUCCUAUCCCAGCAGCUGGUUUCUCAACCAACUCAGUCUUUCUAAAUUUUCACCACUUGCUCGAAAGUUGCAAGAAACGUCAUUUAGCUGAGAAGACUAGAUUGGUAUUCCCGUGGGUUCUCUGGCAGUUAUGGAAAUCUAGGAACCGCUGUGUGCUCGAACAUGUAGUUUUUGGAGCUAAGGAAGUAUGGGAGAGAAUCCAAGUAGAGGCGGAAGCUUGGAGAGCGGCUAACGUGACGGACAAGGAAGAUAGGGACCAAGAUGCAGUUGGUGAUUCUAUAUCAACGUGGCAAAAACCGUGCCCAAGCUUUGUUAACUGUAACAUUGGGUCGUCUUGGGUUGAUGGAAACCAGAAUUGUGGUGUUGCUUGGGUGACAAGGAAUCAUGCUGGAGCAGCCUUAGCCCAUAGCCGUCGCUCAUAUUCUCAUGUCUCGUCAUCCUUAGAGGCUGAGCUCCUGGGUUUUUAUUGGGCAUCUGAAAGUGUCUCGACGAUGAGAUAUGAAAAGGUGGUGUUUGAGUCCACGUCGUACCUGGCGGGAGAAGCAAUUUUAAAGCCUGGAAACUUCUCUCAAUGGCUCAGUCUGAUAGAAGCUAUAAGAGAGAAAUUGUCCCUGCUCAGGUUGUGGUCCAUUUCAUAUGUUCACAGAGAGGCGAACAGAUGUGCCGAUGCUAUUGCUCUCAGUGUCACAAGAGAUCACCGCUACGCGUCCUACAUAGCUACGGAUUGCCCUGGGUGGCUACUGCCCAUUGUACGUGAGGAUGUGAGGAUGAGAGUGGGAUAUUCAGUGCGCAUUAGCUUGGGUUGCGGCGGUACGGAUUCAUGACAGGCUUGUGAUACUUCCUUCGCAACUGCGAGUUGUAUGGGAGCGGAGUGCUGUUGUUUGCUUUAUGUUGUUCGGUUUUUAUUUGAGUGUGGGGUCCUGUUGGUAUCUUCCACACUCUGUUUUUCUCUGUUUUUUUUGGCUUUCAUUCAUUCCUUGUAGCCCAAACCAUCACGUUUUACUCACAAAGUGUUAAAAAAAAAGAACGUAUUUGCGUCACUUGGAUUAAUUCUCAGUUUCUCUCCAGCGCUCUCUUUACAUUUCCAUAUGCAUAGACAUCGCCCCGUUCAACACGUUGCUAUCUCUGAGAAAUUCACUUAUCUCGUUCUGGUUCAUAGUAAAGAUGAGCAUCUUACUUUAUUGUUGCACGGCCACACAUUGCUUUCCUUAUAUAUUCUGUGACUUUUACCUCUUGACUCUUUCUAAUUCUCAGAAUAAAAGAAAGAACAAACUUAGUGCUUGGUGUGUCUGCAUAAUUCUUAUUAAUGUAAACAUAAUUCAUUCUUAUUACAUCAACGUAUCAAAAAAAAAAAAAAAAAAAACGUAUCAAGAAUGUUUAAAGAGUAUAAAUAAAUCUUUAUUAAAAAACAUACUUAUAUCAAUUUCAAAUAGUUGACAUUUUCUUGUUUUUUUUUAAUUGAGAGAGAAUGGCAUGAAUCUUUCCUGCAUUUUCCGUCUCUGUGUUUUUUUUAAUCUCUAAUCACACAAUUAAUAUGUUUAUGUUAUGAUUAGAUACAAAUGAAAAAAAAAAACAGAAUAUAAACGCAGUGCGUUUGAUUACUUCAUAACUUCAUUCUUUUCAAAGUAAAACAAAAAAAAAAACAAAAAAUGCUUUGUAUUUGGUUGUGAAGAUUGAAUGAGUAAAAAUUGAAAACCUGAAAAAUGAGUUUUGCAGGUGGGAGAGAUGGAUCUAAAGGUUUCAUGAAGAGGGUUACAUCAACUUUCUCCACUAAGAAAAACAAGAACACAACAAAUGAUCCCAAACCACUACUUCCUCGGUCCAGAUCAACUGGUUCAAACUAUGAAUCCAUGAGGCUACUUCAUGGUCAGGGGAAAAGGGCUCUUCCAGAUGUUAACACAAAGAGAACCAAAUCUGCUGGUGUCUCUCCUCAGCCGAGGCGUCAAAAGAUCGAUGGAUCCGGGAAACAGUGCACCAAGCUGAGAUGUUUUGAUGACAGCGAUUCCGUUUGGCUGUCUUCGGAUUGCGCUUCUUCCAGCUCUCUUCUAGGGCAACGCAGAGUCUCUGUCUCGUUUCAUUUCUCGCUCGACGAAAGGGUUGUCUCUUGGUUAUCAAAUGCUGCUAAGAAUCAAGAUGACACCAUCUCCACCGAAGAGAGUCAUCAGAAAAGUUCAAAGAAGGCAAAAUAUUCUUCAGAGAGCAACAACAACAAGACUUGUCCAAGUGAAGAGUCAUAUGCGAGUCCUGAGUUGACUUUACAAGAAGACAAGAAAGUUAGCUUCUCUUUAGAAUCAGAGAUGUCUUUGGAGAAAGCUGCAGAGAUUGGUGAUCCCAAGAGGAAGACUGUUGCUGAGCCGCUCUUCUGGCCAUAUGAGCAGAAGUUUGAUUGGACACCAGAUGAUAUAUUGAAGCAUUUCUCCAUAUCACCUCGGAGAAAAAAGUCAACGGGAAAUAAAAGUAAUGGUACCUCUCCAAGAUCAAUGAGGGCACAGCUUCAGACAAGAAAGCUGGUUCUCAAAGAAGGGUGUAAGAGAAAGCUCAUGUUCAAUGGUCCUGGAUCAAGUCCAAAACAAGCACGGAUAAUCGGUAAUAAGAAAACCAAGAUGAGCAAGAACCAACAACAACAACCCAUCAUGAAGAGUUUGAAGAGGAACAAUAGUUUGCCAGCAAGUUUGAAGAGAAACUCGAGGGAGGAGGUACAUGUUCAAGCUGCCGAAGAGAGUGUAGAGAUGUGCAAAAAAACACCUAAGAAGCUUAUCAUGACACGCAGGUCCAGGACUUUCAUAGAAGAUGACUUUGCCUUGAUGAAUGAUUUCUCUAUAGAAAAUGCGGUGGGGCUUUGCGAGUUCAGGGGAAGAGAAGGCAUUGAUUCAGACUUCAACACCGAUGGUUUCUUGUUUGAAGAUGCUCUAUGAAAAAGAAAAAGCCUUUACAGGUUCGAGUCUAUAACAGCAUCUGCACUGUAGAUUAAGGAAUUCGGCUCCGAACCUCCUGGUAUUUUCAAAAAAAAAAGCAUCUGCAUUGGAGACAGUUUUAUUUCAAUAAUUGUGUAUCUAUUGGUACAAGUUUGGGAAUCUCUGAAAUGAGUUUGCGGAGAUAUGGUUUCCCUUCUUCUUGGAAUGUUUUAGCAGAAUAAUCGUUUCCCUUAUAUUAAAGAUUUGCUACAUCUUGCUGUUUCCCUUUUCCUGAAAUAUUUGGUUUUGUGUUUUCAAGUGAGUCAGAGAGAUAUAAUGUGUAUGUUUCUGACCACUCUAAGCAGAGACAAUUGUUAUUGAUAUCUUGUUAUUUGCCAAGAUAAUAUAGAAUGUGUUGAUCUCUUGCAAAUAUCUUAUAGACCAAGUAACUGGCUGGCUUUUAUAAGUGUUUGUGUAAGAAAGAAUUCACAUUAUUGAUUACCAAAAACAUUUAGUUUCAGUGGCUAUAGUCGGAAGGGAGCUUAGGUACACAUAACCAGGUCUACUCCCCUACAGGCUACAUGAUACCACAAUGUUUAAUAAUGUAUGUCACUUUUAAUUAAUUGUAAUGAAAAGAGCAAAGCCUUUGAUAAAAAUGGUUGGAUGAUUUUUAAUGUCAACAUCAUUCCUAUUACAUCAACGUAUCAAGAAUGUUUAAAGAAUAUUCUUAAAAAAAAAAAGAAAUUCAGAAAACGGCAUGAAUCUUUCCUGCAUUUGCCGUUUCUGUUUCUCUAAUCACAAGCUUAAUAUGUUAAUAUUAUGAAUAGACAAAAAAAACAUAAACACAUUAAGAGUUUGAUUACUUCAGAACUUCAUUCUUUUGACAGUAAAACAAAAGAAAAAAAAGCUUUGUAUUUGGUUGUGAAGAUUGAAUGAGUAAAAUCUGAAACCUACAACAUGAGUUUUGCUGGUGGGAGAGAUGGAUCUAAAGGUUUGAUGAAGAGGAUUACAUCAACUUUCUCCACCAAGAAAAAACAGAACACAACAACAAAUGAUCCGAAACCAGUUUUUCCUCGGUCUAGAUCAACAGGUGCUAGCUAUGAAUCCAUGAGGCUGCGUCAGGGGAAAAAGGCUCUUCCUGAUGUCACAGCAAAAAAGACAAAGAGGACCAAAUCUGCAUGUGUCUCCCCUCAAAGAAGACGUGAAAAGAUCGAUGAGUCCAGGAAACAACAGAUUGAAGACAUCGAUUCCAUUUGGUUGACUUCUGAUUCUUCUAGCUCUCUUUUUGGGGAACGUAAAGUAUCUGUCUCGUUUCACUUCUCACUCGACGAAAGCAUCGUCUCUUGGUUAUCAAACGCUGCUAAAAAUCAAGAAGACACCAAAGACAAUCAUCAUCAUCACCAGAAAAGUUCAAAGGAUGCAAAAUAUUCUUCAGAGAACAUACGAAAAGAUGGAAAAUAUGUUGGAACAGAUUCUGCAAAGCCGUGUUCUUCACGUUUACCUGAAAACAACAACAAGACUUGUGAAGAGACAUCUAGUUUCAACAGAUAUGUGAAUCCUGAGUUGACUUCGCAGAGUCAUGAAGAAAAGAAAGUUACCUUCUCACUAGAAUCAGAUGCGUCUCCUUCACAGGUUAUCUCAACUCUUGGGCCAUCUACUCCUCCUAUAACCAUACUAGCAUCAGCUUUAGAGAAAGUUGCGGAGAUUGGAGGUUCAAAGAGAAGGAAUGUUGUGGAGCCGCUUUUCUGGCCAUUGGAGCAGAAGUUUGAUUGGACAACAGAUGAUAUAAUGAAGCAUUUCUCCAUGUCUCCUCAGAGAAAAAAAUAUAUAGGGUCCAAAAGUGCUAGUACCUCUCCAAGAUCAAUGAGGGCACAGCUUCAUACGAGAAAGCUAGAUCUCAAAGAAGGGUGUAAGAGAAAACUCAUGUUCAAUGGUCGGCCUGGAUCAAACUCAAGACUAACACAGAUUCCAGAACUGAAACAGACAAUCAGCAGCGACCAACCACCCAUCAAGAACCGUUUGAAGAGGAACAAAAGUUUGCCAUCAAGGUUGAGAAACUCGAGCGAAAUAUCUUCAAAGGUGGUACCUAUUGAAGCUACAGAAGAGAGUGUAGAGAUAAGCAGAGAGGAAAAAAAAACACCUAAAAAGCUUGUCAUGACUCGUAAGUCCAAAACAUUUUUAGAA